RNAcentral lists this ribosomal RNA (695 nucleotides) under Candida tropicalis. Its description in RNAcentral is "SSU rRNA". It matches the Rfam family "Eukaryotic small subunit ribosomal RNA", at positions 77 to 797 of the family's 1831-position model. Lineage: Eukaryota; Fungi; Ascomycota; Pichiomycetes; Serinales; Debaryomycetaceae. The record is from RNAcentral.
AGAUCGAAAUUUGCGGAAUGGCUCAUUAAAUCAGUUAUCGUUUAUUGAUAGUACCUUAUUACUUGGAUAACCGUGGUAAUUCUAGAGCUAAUACAUGCUUAAAAUCCCGACUGUUGGAAGGGAUGUAUUUAUUAGAUAAAAAAUCAAUGUCUUCGGACUCUUUGAUGAUUCAUAAUAACUUUUCGAAUCGCAUGGCCUUGUGCUGGCGAUGGUUCAUUCAAAUUUCUGCCCUAUCAACUUUCGAUGGUAGGAUAGUGGCCUACCAUGGUUUCAACGGGUAACGGGGAAUAAGGGUUCGAUUCCGGAGAGGGAGCCUGAGAAACGGCUACCACAUCCAAGGAAGGCAGCAGGCGCGCAAAUUACCCAAUCCCGACACGGGGAGGUAGUGACAAUAAAUAACGAUACAGGGCCCUUUCGGGUCUUGUAAUUGGAAUGAGUACAAUGUAAAUACCUUAACGAGGAACAAUUGGAGGGCAAGUCUGGUGCCAGCAGCCGCGGUAAUUCCAGCUCCAAAAGCGUAUAUUAAAGUUGUUGCAGUUAAAAAGCUCGUAGUUGAACCUUGGGCUUGGUUGGCCGGUCCAUCUUUCUGAUGCGUACUGGACCCAACCGAGCCUUUCCUUCUGGCUAGCCUUUUGGCGAACCAGGAUUUUACUUUGAAAAAAUUAGGAGUGUUCUAUAUAUCAAGAAAGGAGACG